RNAcentral lists this ribosomal RNA (1146 nucleotides) under Triticum aestivum (bread wheat). RNAcentral's name for it is "partial small subunit ribosomal RNA". Lineage: Eukaryota; Viridiplantae; Streptophyta; Magnoliopsida; Poales; Poaceae. The record is from RNAcentral.
AUGCUGGGCGGGCUCCUCAGGUUCCUCUCGGCGUGCGGCGGGUCCUGGCAGACCUCGCCCGCGCCGCCCCACGCCGCGCCCCCGCCGCCCUCCGACCCCUCCUCCGACGCCUCUGAGGGCCGCGACGGCCUGCUCUGGUGGCGCGACCUCGCGCGCUGCGCCGCGGGCGACGUCUCCGCCGCGCUCGUCCAGGCCAACCAGACGCUCGAGGACCAGUGCCGCAUCCACUCCGCCCCGCCCCUCGGCACCGUGCUCGCCGUCCUCGACGGCCACGCCGGCCACGCCGCCGCCCGCUUCGCCUGCGACCACCUCGUCCCCACCCUCCUAGAGGCCGCGUCCGGCCCGGGGGGCGUCACGGCGGACGCCAUCAGGGACGCCUUCGCGGCCACGGAGGCGGCCUUCAUCGCGCAGGUCUCCAGCCAGUGGGACACCAACCCGGACCUCGCCACCGUCGGCUCCUGCUGCCUCGUCGGCGUCGUGCACGAGCAGACCCUCUUCGUCGCCAACCUGGGGGACUCCCGGGCCGUCCUGGGGAAGAAGGUGGGCCGCUCCGGCCAGAUCGUCGCCGAGCAGCUCUCCGCCGAGCACAACGCCAAUGACGAGGCCGUCCGGCAGGAGCUCAUGGCCCAGCACCCCGAUGACCCGCAGAUCGUCGCGCUCAAGCAUGGGGUCUGGAGAGUGAAGGGCAUCAUACAGGUGUCGCGGUCACUCGGUGAUGCGUACCUGAAAGACGCAAAGUAUAACACGGACCGGAUCAAACCCAAGUUCAGAGUCUCUGAACCAUUCAGCAGACCUAUAAUGAGUGCCGAACCAACGAUCGUCUCGCACAGCCUUGAACCGAGUGACUGUUUCGUCAUAUUUGCCUCAGAUGGCUUGUGGGAGCACUUGACUAACCAGGAAGCCGUAGAGAUUGUUCACAACAAUCAACGCGCUGGGAGCGCAAAAAGGCUCAUAAAAGCAGCACUCCAAGAAGCAGCGCGGAAGCGUGAGAUGCGGUACUCAGACCUCAUGAGGAUCGACAAGAAAGUCCGCCGGCAUUUCCACGACGACAUCACUGUCAUCGUCCUAUUCAUAAAUCAUGAGCUGCUAGCCAAAGGAAAUGCGCAAGUGCCGCCCCUUUCCAUCAGAUCCGCCUUAGACCACUGA